ACUCCCUUCUGUGUCAGGCGACUCGUAUGCCACGAUUUUUUCGCUGUGUGGGAAAUGUAGUUCGGCGUUGUGUCGAUCGACAGCCGGAGACACGCCCAGAAAACUACUACUCCCAUAAUUCCGGGAGGCCGUAGUACCGUGAUCCGCGCGUGGAGACCAUGGCGUUCCUGUGCAGAAUGUGACGGGGAUAACGGGAAAUAUAACUCCGACAGCGAGUUAUUGUCACAUUAUUCUGAGGAAAGGAUUGGAUUUAAAUAGAGGAUAAAAUGGGCUCUCGUAUCAAGGAGAGCCCCGGGUCACCCUUUGAGGUAUACAUGGAGGUGGUGCAUUCUGGGACGGCUGGCUCUGGACCAGAGGUACGAAGGAGUUUCCCCGACACAUACACUGACCAGG
This 393-nucleotide long non-coding RNA is filed under the name Sinocyclocheilus grahami. RNAcentral's name for it is "lncRNA (ENSSGRG00000051631.1)". The record is from RNAcentral. Lineage: Eukaryota; Metazoa; Chordata; Actinopteri; Cypriniformes; Cyprinidae.